UGGGGAAUUUUGGACAAUGGGCGAAAGCCUGAUCCAGCAAUGCCGCGUGUGUGAAGAAGGCCUUCGGGUUGUAAAGCACUUUUGUCCGGAAAGAAAUCCUUGGCUCUAAUACAGUCGGGGGAUGACGGUACCGGAAGAAUAAGCACCGGCUAACUACGUGCCAGCAGCCGCGGUAAUACGUAGGGUGCAAGCGUUAAUCGGAAUUACUGGGCGUAAAGCGUGCGCAGGCGGUUUGCUAAGACCGAUGUGAAAUCCCCGGGCUCAACCUGGGAACUGCAUUGGUGACUGGCAGGCUAGAGUAUGGCAGAGGGGGGUAGAAUUCCACGUGUAGCAGUGAAAUGCGUAGAGAUGUGGAGGAAUACCGAUGGCGAAGGCAGCCCCCUGGGCCAAUACUGACGCUCAUGCACGAAAGCGUGGGGAGCAAAUAGGAUUAGAUACCCUGGUAGUCCACGCCCUAAACGAUGUCAACUAGUUGUUGGGGAUUCAUUUUCCUUAGUAACCGUAGCUAACGCGUGAAGUUGACCGCCUGGGGGAGUACGGUCGCAAGAUUAAAACUCAAAGGAUUGACGGGGUCU
RNAcentral lists this ribosomal RNA (575 nucleotides) under uncultured bacterium. RNAcentral's name for it is "partial 16S ribosomal RNA". It matches the Rfam family "Bacterial small subunit ribosomal RNA", at positions 355 to 921 of the family's 1533-position model. The record is from RNAcentral.